AUGGGCCCUCAACACCCAUCAAUGCAUGGUGUUCUUCGACUGAUCGUUACUCUCGAUGGUGAGGAUGUUAUUGAUUGUGAACCCAUAUUAGGCUAUCUACACAGAGGAAUGGAAAAAAUCGCGGAAAACCGAACUAUUAUACAAUACUUACCUUAUGUAACAAGGAUAUAG
This 171-nucleotide ribosomal RNA is filed under the name Triticum aestivum (bread wheat). Its description in RNAcentral is "partial small subunit ribosomal RNA". The record is from RNAcentral. Lineage: Eukaryota; Viridiplantae; Streptophyta; Magnoliopsida; Poales; Poaceae.